Molecule: transfer RNA, 70 nt
Filed under: Paucidesulfovibrio gracilis DSM 16080
Lineage: Bacteria; Pseudomonadati; Thermodesulfobacteriota; Desulfovibrionia; Desulfovibrionales; Desulfovibrionaceae
Description: Desulfovibrio gracilis DSM 16080 tRNA_Ala_GGC
Source: RNAcentral
GGAGCUUGGAGACGAGUCUCCUUGCAUGGCAUUCAAGAGGUCGUGGGUUCAAUUCCCUCCAGCUCCACCA